AAACACCUACCUAAGUAUAUAGCAUGGUUUACAUGCUGGAAAAGACUAGACCAAGUUGGGGGAAUAGCCUCAAAAAGCCUUCCUUUUUGCGCAAAUAGUUAUUUUCUUGCUUCGUUAACCAUGUUAGCUCCAUCUGUUAAGUUUGUGCGAUCUUACAGUAAAUCCCCGGUUAUUUAGUCUGAUCAAUCAUCAUUCUUUAUGUUAAAUUCACAUCUUCAAAUGCAAUCAAU
RNAcentral lists this long non-coding RNA (230 nucleotides) under Mytilus galloprovincialis (Mediterranean mussel). The record is from RNAcentral. Lineage: Eukaryota; Metazoa; Mollusca; Bivalvia; Mytilida; Mytilidae.